RNAcentral lists this ribosomal RNA (486 nucleotides) under uncultured bacterium. Its description in RNAcentral is "partial 16S ribosomal RNA". It matches the Rfam family "Bacterial small subunit ribosomal RNA", at positions 30 to 507 of the family's 1533-position model. The record is from RNAcentral.
AUUGAACGCUGGCGGCAUGCCUUACACAUGCAAGUCGAACGGCAGCACGGGUGCUUGCUGCUGUUAGCGAGUGGCGGUGGGGUGCGUGUUACAUAGGAAUCUGUACUGAAGUGGGGGAUAGGGCGGAGGAAGGCGGAUUUAUACUGCUUACGAUUUCCGCCUGCAAGUGGGAGCACUUGGGGCUUCGAGCUUUCGGGUUGGAAGAUGUCGGAUUAGCUAGUUGGGGGGGUAAAGGCCUACCAAGGCGACGAUCAGUAGCUGGUCUGAGAGGACGAUCAGCCACACUGGGACUGAGACACGGCCCAGACUCCUACGGGAGGCAGCAGUGGGGAAUUUUGGACAAUGGGCGAAAGCCUGAUCCAGCAAUGCCGCGUGUGUGAAGAAGGCCUUCGGGUUGUAAAGCACUUUUGUUGGGAAAGAAAAGCAGGGCCUUAAUACGGUCGUGUUAUGACGGUACCCAAAGAAUAAGCACCGGCUAACUACGUG